RNAcentral lists this ribosomal RNA (468 nucleotides) under uncultured bacterium. Its description in RNAcentral is "partial 16S ribosomal RNA". It matches the Rfam family "Bacterial small subunit ribosomal RNA", at positions 28 to 507 of the family's 1533-position model. The record is from RNAcentral.
GACGAACGCUGGCGGCGUGCUUAACACAUGCAAGUCGAACGGAAAGGCCCUGCUUUUGUGGGGUGCUCGAGUGGCGAACGGGUGAGUAACACGUGAGUAACCUGCCCUUGACUUUGUGAUAACUUCAGGAAACUGGGGCUAAUACCGGAUAGGAUCUCCUGCUGCAUGGUGGGGGUUGGAAAGUUUCGGCGGUUGGGGAUGGACUCGCGGCUUAUCAGCUUGUUGGUGGGGUAGUGGCUUACCAAGGCUUUGACGGGUAGCCGGCCUGGGAGGGUGACCGGCCACAUUGGGACUGAGAUACGGCCCAGACUCCUACGGGAGGCAGCGGUGGGGAAUAUUGCACAAUGGGCGGAAGCCUGAUGCAGCAACGCCGCGUGCGGGAUGACGGCCUUCGGGUUGUAAACCGCUUUCGCCUGUGACGAAGCGUGAGUGACGGUAAUGGGUAAAGAAGCACCGGCUAACUACGUG